RNAcentral lists this ribosomal RNA (374 nucleotides) under Mus musculus (house mouse). Its description in RNAcentral is "partial 12S ribosomal RNA". Lineage: Eukaryota; Metazoa; Chordata; Mammalia; Rodentia; Muridae. The record is from RNAcentral.
CCCUCUUAGGGGCCAAGAUUACCACCCCUGUGGAGAUUCGAGGGACUGGGGGGUUCUUUAUUUCCAUCUAGAGGAGCCUGGGCUAUAAUAAAUAAACCCCGCCCUAACUCACCUUUUCUUGCUAAUUCAGACAAUAUACCGCCAUCUUCAGCUUGACUAAAAAGGUAUUAAAGGAAGCAUUAGAAUCAAAAAUAAAAACGUUUGGGGUAGGGGCAAUCAAGGGGAGGGAAAGAAAUGGCAUUCUUUUUCUUUUAAAAGAACAUUACUAUUGCCUUUAUGAAACUGACGGAUUAGGGAGGAUUAAUUAAUUGAUUAAAAAUAGAGAGCUUAAUUGAGUCCCGGAAUGAAGUACGCACACCCCGCCCCCCUACCUA